This 21-nucleotide microRNA is filed under the name Mesocestoides corti. RNAcentral describes it as "mco-miR-96-5p". Its record names the gene mco-miR-96-5p. The record is from miRBase by way of RNAcentral. Lineage: Eukaryota; Metazoa; Platyhelminthes; Cestoda; Cyclophyllidea; Mesocestoididae.
ACAAUCUGAAAGUGUCGAACA